This 2589-nucleotide ribosomal RNA is filed under the name Escherichia coli KTE165. Its description in RNAcentral is "bacterial LSU rRNA". It matches the Rfam family "Bacterial large subunit ribosomal RNA", at positions 354 to 2925 of the family's 2925-position model. The record is from RNAcentral. Lineage: Bacteria; Pseudomonadati; Pseudomonadota; Gammaproteobacteria; Enterobacterales; Enterobacteriaceae.
GCGAUACAGGGUGACAGCCCCGUACACAAAAAUGCACAUACUGUGAGCUCGAUGAGUAGGGCGGGACACGUGGUAUCCUGUCUGAAUAUGGGGGGACCAUCCUCCAAGGCUAAAUACUCCUGACUGACCGAUAGUGAACCAGUACCGUGAGGGAAAGGCGAAAAGAACCCCGGCGAGGGGAGUGAAAAAGAACCUGAAACCGUGUACGUACAAGCAGUGGGAGCCUCUUAAUGGGGUGACUGCGUACCUUUUGUAUAAUGGGUCAGCGACUUAUAUUCUGUAGCAAGGUUAACCGAAUAGGGGAGCCGAAGGGAAACCGAGUCUUAACUGGGCGUUAAGUUGCAGGGUAUAGACCCGAAACCCGGUGAUCUAGCCAUGGGCAGGUUGAAGGUUGGGUAACACUAACUGGAGGACCGAACCGACUAAUGUUGAAAAAUUAGCGGAUGACUUGUGGCUGGGGGUGAAAGGCCAAUCAAACCGGGAGAUAGCUGGUUCUCCCCGAAAGCUAUUUAGGUAGCGCCUCGUGAAUUCAUCUCCGGGGGUAGAGCACUGUUUCGGCAAGGGGGUCAUCCCGACUUACCAACCCGAUGCAAACUGCGAAUACCGGAGAAUGUUAUCACGGGAGACACACGGCGGGUGCUAACGUCCGUCGUGAAGAGGGAAACAACCCAGACCGCCAGCUAAGGUCCCAAAGUCAUGGUUAAGUGGGAAACGAUGUGGGAAGGCCCAGACAGCCAGGAUGUUGGCUUAGAAGCAGCCAUCAUUUAAAGAAAGCGUAAUAGCUCACUGGUCGAGUCGGCCUGCGCGGAAGAUGUAACGGGGCUAAACCAUGCACCGAAGCUGCGGCAGCGACGCUUAUGCGUUGUUGGGUAGGGGAGCGUUCUGUAAGCCUGUGAAGGUGGCCUGUGAGGGUUGCUGGAGGUAUCAGAAGUGCGAAUGCUGACAUAAGUAACGAUAAAGCGGGUGAAAAGCCCGCUCGCCGGAAGACCAAGGGUUCCUGUCCAACGUUAAUCGGGGCAGGGUGAGUCGACCCCUAAGGCGAGGCCGAAAGGCGUAGUCGAUGGGAAACAGGUUAAUAUUCCUGUACUUGGUGUUACUGCGAAGGGGGGACGGAGAAGGCUAUGUUGGCCGGGCGACGGUUGUCCCGGUUUAAGCGUGUAGGCUGGUUUUCCAGGCAAAUCCGGAAAAUCAAGGCUGAGGCGUGAUGACGAGGCACUACGGUGCUGAAGCGACAAAUGCCCUGCUUCCAGGAAAAGCCUCUAAGCAUCAGGUAACAUCAAAUCGUACCCCAAACCGACACAGGUGGUCAGGUAGAGAAUACCAAGGCGCUUGAGAGAACUCGGGUGAAGGAACUAGGCAAAAUGGUGCCGUAACUUCGGGAGAAGGCACGCUGAUAUGUAGGUGAAGCGACUUGCUCGUGGAGCUGAAAUCAGUCGAAGAUACCAGCUGGCUGCAACUGUUUAUUAAAAACACAGCACUGUGCAAACACGAAAGUGGACGUAUACGGUGUGACGCCUGCCCGGUGCCGGAAGGUUAAUUGAUGGGGUUAGCGGUAACGCGAAGCUCUUGAUCGAAGCCCCGGUAAACGGCGGCCGUAACUAUAACGGUCCUAAGGUAGCGAAAUUCCUUGUCGGGUAAGUUCCGACCUGCACGAAUGGCGUAAUGAUGGCCAGGCUGUCUCCACCCGAGACUCAGUGAAAUUGAACUCGCUGUGAAGAUGCAGUGUACCCGCGGCAAGACGGAAAGACCCCGUGAACCUUUACUAUAGCUUGACACUGAACAUUGAGCCUUGAUGUGUAGGAUAGGUGGGAGGCUUUGAAGUGUGGACGCCAGUCUGCAUGGAGCCGACCUUGAAAUACCACCCUUUAAUGUUUGAUGUUCUAACGUGGGCCCCUAAUCGGGGUUGCGGACAGUGUCUGGUGGGUAGUUUGACUGGGGCGGUCUCCUCCUAAAGAGUAACGGAGGAGCACGAAGGUUGGCUAAUCCUGGUCGGACAUCAGGAGGUUAGUGCAAUGGCAUAAGCCAGCUUGACUGCGAGCGUGACGGCGCGAGCAGGUGCGAAAGCAGGUCAUAGUGAUCCGGUGGUUCUGAAUGGAAGGGCCAUCGCUCAACGGAUAAAAGGUACUCCGGGGAUAACAGGCUGAUACCGCCCAAGAGUUCAUAUCGACGGCGGUGUUUGGCACCUCGAUGUCGGCUCAUCACAUCCUGGGGCUGAAGUAGGUCCCAAGGGUAUGGCUGUUCGCCAUUUAAAGUGGUACGCGAGCUGGGUUUAGAACGUCGUGAGACAGUUCGGUCCCUAUCUGCCGUGGGCGCUGGAGAACUGAGGGGGGCUGCUCCUAGUACGAGAGGACCGGAGUGGACGCAUCACUGGUGUUCGGGUUGUCAUGCCAAUGGCACUGCCCGGUAGCUAAAUGCGGAAGAGAUAAGUGCUGAAAGCAUCUAAGCACGAAACUUGCCCCGAGAUGAGUUCUCCCUGACUCCUUGAGAGUCCUGAAGGAACGUUGAAGACGACGACGUUGAUAGGCCGGGUGUGUAAGCGCAGCGAUGCGUUGAGCUAACCGGUACUAAUGAACCGUGAGGCUUAACCUU